This 253-nucleotide ribosomal RNA is filed under the name uncultured bacterium. Its description in RNAcentral is "partial 16S ribosomal RNA". It matches the Rfam family "Bacterial small subunit ribosomal RNA", at positions 524 to 776 of the family's 1533-position model. The record is from RNAcentral.
UACGUAGGGGGCUAGCGUUGUCCGGAAUCAUUUGGCGUAAAGCGCGUGUAGGCGGUCCGUUAAGUCCGCUGUGAAAGUCGAGGGCUCAACCCUCGAAUGCCGGUGGAUACUGUCGGGCUUGAGUACGGGAGAGGCGAGUGGAAUUCCUGGUGUAGCGGUGAAAUGCGCAGAUAUCUGGAGGAAAACCGGUGGCGAAGGCGGCAUCCUGGACCGGUAUUGACACUGAGGCGCGAAAGCCAGGGGAGCAAACGGG